GAGCGGCCGAUAUCUGAUUAGCUAGUUGGCGGGGUAAAAGCCCACCAAGGCGACGAUCAGUAGCUGGUUUGAGAGAACGACCAGCCACACUGGGACUGAGACACGGCCCAGACUCCUACGGGAGGCAGCAGUGGGGAAUUUUGGACAAUGGGGGCAACCCUGAUCCAGCAAUGCCGCGUGAGUGAAGAAGGCCUUCGGGUUGUAAAGCUCUUUUGUCCGGAACGAAACGGUGAGCGCUAAUACCGCUUACUAAUGACGGUACCGGAAGAAUAAGCACCGGCUAACUACGUGCCAGCAGCCGCGGUAAUACGUAGGGUGCAAGCGUUAAUCGGAAUUACUGGGCGUAAAGCGUGCGCAGGCGGUUGUGCAAGACAGAUGUGAAAUCCCCGGGCUUAACCUGGGAAUUGCAUUUGUGACUGCACGGCUAGAGUGUGUCAGAGGGGGGUAGAAUUCCACGUGUAGCAGUGAAAUGCGUAGAUAUGUGGAGG
Molecule: ribosomal RNA, 488 nt
Filed under: uncultured Pseudomonadota bacterium
Lineage: Bacteria; Pseudomonadati; Pseudomonadota
Description: bacterial SSU rRNA
Rfam family: Bacterial small subunit ribosomal RNA
Source: RNAcentral